This is a long non-coding RNA of Triticum dicoccoides, 1155 nucleotides long. RefSeq lists it as uncharacterized. NCBI's taxonomy places the organism in Eukaryota, Viridiplantae, Streptophyta, Magnoliopsida, Poales, Poaceae. The transcript is spliced from 3 exons. The record is from RefSeq and is a predicted model, not a curated record.
CUCCCUUUUCUCAUUCCUAGCAUGCAUCCGAGAGAGGGAGAGAGAGAGUCAUGGCGAUGUUGUAGAUCCCCUCGCCGCCGCAUCUGCCUGCUGAUGUCUGCUGCAUCUCCCGCCUUGAGGAAAUCGUCUUGAAUAAUUCCGGGCCUGAACUGAUCUGAAAUGCUUUUGAAGAUGCUAACGGUGCAUUUCCAAUGUGGACGACCAACCAUAACUUAUGCGGUGGCCCAAAAUCUGGACCCCAACAGCGAAGGAAGAGGGGUGCUGCAGUUAAAGACUGGGUUAAUGUCAGUAAUCAGGGUAUGAGCUACUACUCACCUCAUCUCUUUCCCGUCUUUGGGGUGAAUAUACUACUAUUAUAUUAUUGCAUGACCAUUCGGACACACUUACCUAUGCUACCAGUCACCAACUAGUCUAGGUCACAUAUGUUCGACUGUAGACGCUCUAAAAUGUACUGUUUAUGGGAACAUUUAUUUAGUAAGCUAAUAAUAAUUUACCUUUUUUAUGGACACACUAAUCUGUUUUUCUGUUAUCUGAAUCCACCCACAACGCAUACACAUGUGCAAUUCUGACAACGCAUAAAACUGAUCUUGGAUUGAAUGUUAAGCAUUGCCAUUCUUUUGCUAGUUUGCCAGAGUAAUGUGUUAGUUCAUGCAAGACCAAACGCCCUCACCCAUAAUAAUGCGAUGGUUUCGAUUAUCAUGUAGGAGUAAUGUGUUAGUUCAUGCAAAACCAAACGCCCUCACCCAUAAUAAUGCGAUGGUUUCGAUUAUCAUGUAGGAGUAAUGUGUUAGUUCAUGCAAAACCAAACGCCCUCACCCAUAAUAAUGCGAUGGUUUCGAUUAUCAUGUAGGAGUAAUGUGUUAGUUCAUGCAAGACCAUGAACCCUGGCUAGUGGGGACUGAGCUUGGGUGAAUAAACUGCACCUGCCUUUGGUAGGUGUAGUAAGUCACUGAAGCUGGCGUCCGGCUAGUUGGCGAUCACGGGACGCAUUGUAGCCUGACUGAGGCAUUUGAUUUCAACCAUGCAUUUGAUUUCCAUCCCGGCCCAUUCCCCAGAGCCGGCUGGAUCACAUGCUGACAUGCACCAGUGGUGCGCUGCUAGCCCUUUCAUCCCUAUUCCCUAGACUUUGCUCAUCCCUUCAAUGAAGAAAAUAUG